Molecule: ribosomal RNA, 429 nt
Filed under: uncultured archaeon
Lineage: Archaea
Description: bacterial SSU rRNA
Rfam family: Archaeal small subunit ribosomal RNA
Source: RNAcentral
UACCAGCUCUCCGAGUUGUAGGGAUGAUUAUUGGGCUUAAAGCGUCCGUAGCUGGCUUAGCAAGUCUCCUGUUAAAUUCAGCGACCUGAUCGUUGAGCCGCGGGAGAUACUACUAGGCUAGGAGGCGGGAGAGGUCGACGGUACUUUCGGGGUAGGGGUGAAAUCCUAUAAUCCCGGGAGGACCACCAGUGGCGAAGGCUGUCGACUAGAACGCGCUCGACGGUGAGGGACGAAAGCUGGGGGAGCGAACCGGAUUAGAUACCCGGGUAGUCCCAGCUGUAAACUAUGCGGGCUAGGUGUUGGGGUGGCUACGGGCCACUUCAGUGCCGCAGGAAAGCCAUUAAGCCCGCCGCCUGGGGAGUACGGCCGCAAGGCUGAAACUUAAAGGAAUUGGCGGGGGAGCACCACAAGGCGUGAAGCUUGCGGUUC